GCGCGAUUAGCUCAGUGGUAGAGCGACCCCUUGACGUGGGGUAGGUCGAGGGUUCGAUCCCUUCAUCGCGCA
RNAcentral lists this transfer RNA (72 nucleotides) under Minisyncoccota bacterium. RNAcentral describes it as "tRNA-Val". It matches the Rfam family "tRNA". Rfam says of the family: Transfer RNA (tRNA) molecules are approximately 80 nucleotides in length. Their secondary structure includes four short double-helical elements and three loops (D, anti-codon, and T loops). Lineage: Bacteria; Bacillati; Minisyncoccota. The record is from RNAcentral.